AGAUUGAACGCUGGCGGCAUGCUUUACACAUGCAAGUCGAACGGUAACAGGCCGCAAGGUGCUGACGAGUGGCGAACGGGUGAGUAAUGUAUCGGAACGUGCCCAGUCGUGGGGGGAUAACGCAGCGAAAGCUGCGCUAAUACCGCAUACGAUCUAUGGAUGAAAGCGGGGGACCGUAAGGCCUCGCGCGAUUGGAGCGGCCGAUAUCAGAUUAGGUAGUUGGUGGGGUAAAGGCUCACCAAGCCAACGAUCUGUAGCUGGUCUGAGAGGACGACCAGCCACACUGGGACUGAGACACGGCCCAGACUCCUACGGGAGGCAGCAGUGGGGAAUUUUGGACAAUGGGCGCAAGCCUGAUCCAGCAAUGCCGCGUGCAGGAAGAAGGCCUCGGUUGUAAACUGCUUUGUACGAACGAAACGGUACCGUGGUUAAUACCUGGGCGUAAUGACGGUAACCGUAAGAAUAAGACACCGGACUAACUAACGUACCAGCACGACCG
This 499-nucleotide ribosomal RNA is filed under the name uncultured soil bacterium. Its description in RNAcentral is "bacterial SSU rRNA". It matches the Rfam family "Bacterial small subunit ribosomal RNA", at positions 26 to 517 of the family's 1533-position model. The record is from RNAcentral.